RNAcentral lists this unclassified non-coding RNA (229 nucleotides) under Hevea brasiliensis (rubber tree). Lineage: Eukaryota; Viridiplantae; Streptophyta; Magnoliopsida; Malpighiales; Euphorbiaceae. The record is from RNAcentral.
GGCAGACCCUACCAAAAUACACUGCAGAGAGGAGGUGACACACUGGACAUUAGUGCAGAUCCGAACUCUAAAAUCCUAGUCCACAAUCUACUGGGCUUUAUCUCCAGUACCUCACUUGAGAGAUCUUUCCAACCUCCAAAACUUUAAUUUCUCUUGAUUCUUUCACUUCCAAUCUUCUUAUCAAAGCUUAAUUCAAAGUUUUUCUAAGUUAGGUUUAUGGAAUUAAUGG